CCAGAGAUGGAUUGGUGCCUUCGGGAACUCUGACACAGGUGCUGCAGUGGCUGUCGUCAGGCUCGUGUCGUGAGAUGUUGGGUUAAGUCCCGUAACGAGCGCAACCCUUGUCCUUAGUUACCAGCACGUUAUGGUGGGCACUCUAAGGAGACUGCCGGUGACAAACCGGAGGAAGGUGGGGAUGACGUCAAGUCAUCAUGGCCCUUACGGCCUGGGCUACACACGUGCUACAAUGGUCGGUACAAAGGGUUGCCAAGCCGCGAGGUGGAGCUAAUCCCAUAAAACCGAUCGUAGUCCGGAUCGCAGUCUGCAACUCGACUGCGUGAAGUCGGAAUCGCUAGUAAUCGUGAAUCAGAAUGUCACGGUGAAUACGUUCCCGGGCCUU
RNAcentral lists this ribosomal RNA (385 nucleotides) under uncultured Pseudomonas sp. RNAcentral describes it as "bacterial SSU rRNA". It matches the Rfam family "Bacterial small subunit ribosomal RNA", at positions 1000 to 1382 of the family's 1533-position model. The record is from RNAcentral. Lineage: Bacteria; Pseudomonadati; Pseudomonadota; Gammaproteobacteria; Pseudomonadales; Pseudomonadaceae.